GACGAACGCUGGCGGCGUGCCUAAUACAUGCAAGUAGAACGCUGAAGGAGGAGCUUGCUUCUCCGGAUGAGUUGCGAACGGGUGAGUAACGCGUAGGUAACCUGCCUGGUAGCGGGGGAUAACUAUUGGAAACGAUAGCUAAUACCGCAUAACAGUAGAUGUUGCAUGACAUUUGCUUAAAAGGUGCAAUUGCAUCACUACCAGAUGGACCUGCGUUGUAUUAGCUAGUUGGUGAGGUAACGGCUCACCAAGGCGACGAUACAUAGCCGGCCUGAGAUGGGGAUCGGCCACACUGGGACUGAGACACGGCCCAGACUCCUACGGGAGGCAGCAGUAGGGAAUCUUCGGCAAUGGACGGAAGUCUGACCGAGCAACGCCGCGUGAGUGAAGAAGGUUGUCGGAUCGUAAAGCUCUGUUGUAAGAGAAGAACGAGUGUGAGAGUGGAAAGUUCACACUGUGACGGUAUCUUACCAGAAAGGGACGGCUAACUACGUG
RNAcentral lists this ribosomal RNA (495 nucleotides) under uncultured bacterium. RNAcentral describes it as "partial 16S ribosomal RNA". It matches the Rfam family "Bacterial small subunit ribosomal RNA", at positions 28 to 507 of the family's 1533-position model. The record is from RNAcentral.